This 459-nucleotide ribosomal RNA is filed under the name uncultured bacterium. RNAcentral describes it as "partial 16S ribosomal RNA". It matches the Rfam family "Bacterial small subunit ribosomal RNA", at positions 339 to 795 of the family's 1533-position model. The record is from RNAcentral.
CUACGGGUUGCUCCAGUGAGGAAUAUUGGACAAUGGUCGAAAGACUGAUCCAGCCAUGCCGCGUGCAGGAUGAAUGCCCUAUGGGUUGUAAACUGCUUUUAUACGGGAAGAACACCACCCACGUGUGGGUGACUGACGGUACCGUAAGAAUAAGGACCGGCUAACUCCGUGCCAGCAGCCGCGGUAAUACGGAGGGUCCAAGCGUUAUCCGGAAUCAUUGGGUUUAAAGGGUCCGUAGGCGGGCUAUUAAGUCAGAGGUGAAAGUUUGCAGCUCAACUGUAAAAUUGCCUUUGAUACUGGUAGUCUUGAGUUAUAGUGAAGUGGUUAGAAUAUGUGGUGUAGCGGUGAAAUGCAUAGAUAUCACAUAGAAUACCAAUUGCGAAGGCAGAUCACUAACUAUAUACUGACGCUGAUGGACGAAAGCGUGGGGAGCGAACGGGAUUAGAUACCCCCGUAGUC